Molecule: ribosomal RNA, 394 nt
Filed under: uncultured bacterium
Lineage: Bacteria
Description: bacterial SSU rRNA
Rfam family: Bacterial small subunit ribosomal RNA
Source: RNAcentral
AAUCAACGCUGGCGGCGUGCCUCAGACAUGCAAGUCGAACGAUUAAAGCUCUCUUCGGAGAGUGUAUAGAGUGGCGCACGGGUGAGUAACACGUAAGUAAUCUACCUUUGAGUGGGGAAUAACAGUCGGAAACGACUGCUAAUACCGCAUAAUGCAGCGGCACCGCAAGGUGACAGUUGUUAAAGGAGCAAUUCGCUUAAAGAGGAGCUUGCGGCAGAUUAGCUUGUUGGUAAGGUAACGGCUUACCAAGGCUACGAUCUGUAUCCGGUCUUAGAGGACGGUCGGACACACUGACACUGAAUAACGGGUCAGACUCCUACGGGAGGCAGCAGUCGGGAAUCUUGCGCAAUGGGCGAAAGCCUGACGCAGCGACGCCGCGUGAGGGAUGACGGCC